CCUGUUGCUAAUUUCAUUCCACCACCUACUCACGUGCUUUCUACUGCUAAUCAUAUGCUCCCUAUUCAUGGGACCCACCAAGUACUGGGUAAAAGGUAAGUGGCUAAGAUCAGCCAGGCUAAAGAAAUCUCCAGCUAAGUACUUGCUCUUUGAGAGCCUCUCCUCAUAAACAUCCAAAACCUUUGCUAUCUUUUCUUCACUCUCUUUUAUUAUCUUCUCGUCAGCAGGAAAUCCCAGAGCCGAAGCAAAUAGGAUGUGAAUGGUCAAAUCGUAAAUAGGAGGGUGGUAGUUUUGGGCCUCCACCUCCAGCCAUUGCUCCACUAAUCCCCUCUCUUCAACGUUCUUUCCAAGCAAAUCAGUUCCUUGGGAUUUGUACUUUUCCGCAUAAUACCUCAUGAUUGCUCUUGAUUCUAUCCAUCCGAUCAGAACCCAUUAAAAUCAAAUCCAAUUUAAAACUUAACAUUAUCUUUAAAUUCAUGAUUAAUGUUAAACAAAAUGUAAAUAUUAAGAAUUAUAUAUAUAGAAAAUACAUAUACGAAGGGAGAAGACAAUUUUUUUUAAAUUGCAAUUGUGUACGUAAAUUUUCCAAAAAUAGAAAGAUAUAUUUAUAACUUUUAUGAUAAACUAAUUUUUCACUCUAAAUCUUAUAUAUAUACAUAUAAAAUCAACCCUAAUAAUUAAAUUUCUACAUUUUAAGCUGUCAAACGGAAAGAAAAUCUUUCUCCAUUCAACUUUUGAUUAAUUAUUUGAGACAUAAUAAAAGUAUUAUUGAAAAAUAAAUUACUUUUUUAUCUGACCUUAAAAUUAACGCACAUAUCUCUUAACUUUUAAAAUUGAUUCCUAUAUUUUAAUCUUUAUCUAACUAUGAAAAUAUACAGUAUUUCAAUUCAUAUAUAGAGACAAUUAAAUUAUUAAAUUUUAAAAUAUCAAAUCUUAUUUGAUUCGGAGAAAUUUAGGCAAGAAAGUUAAAGUUUUUUAAAAGUAUCAAAAGAGACUUAUUAGAUUAGUAUUUUUUUUGUAAUUGAGAAUUGAAAAUUAGAAAAUAGAAUUUGAGAUUUCUCAGAUUUAUUCAGAUAUUCUUACCACCAAACUAAAUUCGUGAGUGCAGAUUAAUCUUUUUAUUUUUGAAAUUUUUAAUUCUACUUUAUAGUGAAAGAAGUAAAUUAAUUAAUAUCACACACUUAAGCCCUUAUUUGAUUUAAGGUAGUCACUUUUUAAAAAAUUUACUUCUCAAAAAUAACUUAAUUAAAUUAAGAAAAAUAAACUACUUUUCAUCUAUAAAAAAAUUUGACAUUUCAAAAAAUUUUAAAAAAAUAUCAACUAAACAGAUACAAUUUUAAUAUUUAAAAUUUUUAAAUUAUCUAUUUAAAUUAUCCUCAACUAAAUAAGACUUAAUUACAAUUUCUGAAUAAAAAUUUCUUUUGCUUCUCACUAUCGUCAUGCGUUUUCUUCUUCUUCUUUUUUUUUUUCUCCACACUCAUUGGUCAGUUCAAUAGCUUACAAGUUUUUUUUUCCUCUUAACAUCUAUCACUAUUAGUAUUUCUUUAUUAUUAUUUUGAAUUAUUAAAAUUAAACUUGACUUUUUCUAUUUUGCAAUUUCAUUUUAGUUAGAUUUUUCUUUUUUUUUUUAAUUUCAUUUCAAUUUAUAAGUAUUUUUAGUACAUAUAAAAUUUUUAAUUAUAAUAAUAUUUUUAUCAAAAUACAGCGUUAAAAAAUUUAUAGAUUUAUUAUCAUGUGAUUUACAUUAUAGAAUAUGUUAUUGAAUUAAUGAAUUAUUGCCAUUAAAAUAAGGAAUGUCUUUUUAAUUUUAUUUUUAUUAACAACAAUUUUAUUUUUUUUAAAUUGAAAAAUAACUUUACCGUAAAUAUAUUUUUAAAAAAAUAAACUUCUAAAAAAUAAGUAAUUUAAAUUAAAUAAGGCCUAAUUUGAACUAAAUGAAAACUUAAAAAUAUAUAUACAUAUUAAAUUUUAAUAUAAUUGAUAGAUUAAAAAAAAAUUCUAUAGUUUUUAACGAUUAAACUUCUAUCUUUCCGCACUCACAUGAUUUACGUCAUAAUAAAUUCUAAAUAAAUUUUAACUAAAUCUAAGAGAUCUAAAUUCAACACCCCAAUUCUCAAUUCUCAUUUUAAAAAACCCUUUCCUCAAUAAAAUUUAAUGGAGUUACAAAAUUUUUUAUCCUUAUUUUCUUCUCAAUCAAAUAUAAAAUAAACGAAAGCAAAAACGUUUUCCUCUCCAAAUUUCAUUCAUCCCAUGGAAUUCCAUCAAUCCAAGCACAAACAAUGUGAAGUUUGCAAUAUGCUAAUCCACAGCACAAGUUUUCUAAAUUAUCCCAAAUAAGUUAUUCUCUAAUUGACAGAGGAUUAUCGAUGAUUACUUACCGUAUAAGAUGUAAUCUCCAUCUUGAAUUACAGGAAGCACUCCGAAAGGCUUGAAUUGUCAAGAAAAAGAAGCGAAUUCAGCGCGAAUCAACUCCAAAAGAAUAAACACAGAUAUGUAAACGAAAACAAACAGAAAAAAGAAUCCCAAACCUGUAACUUGAGAUAUUCAGGGCUUCGAUGCUCCCCUUUGAUGAGAUCCACAGGAACAGCUUCAAAUUGGAUGCCCUUUUCAAUAAGGCAAGCAAGAACUCGCUUUGGACAAGCAUAGGCAGGACCGUACACCUUCACCACCAUUUUUUCCAAUGAGAGAUUAGGCAACAAGGUGUGGGUCUGUGAGGAGAAGGGCUGUGUUAGUAUUCUAGACGAGGGUUUUCUUGCGAUUUAUGAAGAAGAAAGUUGCUGGGUGCAUGGGUGGGAAUAAUUUUGUACGGGCACGUGCAUUUAUCUUAGCUGGACUUGGUAGGAGAUUUUUUUAAAAAAAUUUAAAAUAAAAUAUAUUCUCUAAUUAAUCAUUUUUAUUGUUUUAAUAGUUAAUAAUUAUUUAGAUAAUUAUUAAUUAAAUAUUAUAAAUAAAAAUAAUUUUUUAUAAUUUAUUUUCUUAAUAUAUAAAUAUUAGUGUUUUAUGAUUAUUCUCAGAUAGAAUUAUAAUAUGUGUUUAUUUUAUUUAAAUAAUAAAAAUAAAUUUCAAUAAUAUAAAAUUAUAAUAUAUAUAAUAUAAUAUCAAAAAUUAAUUUUUGGUCAGUCAAUAUGAGACAAUGAUUAGUGUUUGGUAAUUAAGCAAAGUGUUUAUACAUGAGCAAAGAAAAAUCAACUUUCUUUCUUCUUUUUAUUUUUUUAUUUUUUAUUUUAAAGAAAAUUACUAAAAAAUGAUAAUUGUCCUUAAAAAGAAAUAUCUUCACAUAAGAAAGUGACGUGAGAUGACAAUUUUGAAAAUAGGGAUUUUUUUUAAAUAUUUGGGAUAUACGUUGGUCCAAUAUAAUUUUAAUAUAUAAUUUAAAAUAUUGAGAGUUUAAAAUAUUAUAUAAAAUUUUUAACUUUUUAUUAGUUAAAUUAUAAAUUGAGUUGCGUAUAAAUGAACAACACAUACCCUAAUAUCAUAAUUACCUAUCAAUGAUUUCCAAAGCACACAAACUCAUUAUCAUUUCAUUUAAAUCAAAUACAUCAAUGGCCUCAUAUUUUCAUAAAAGCUGAAUUGGAAUCUUGACUUUUUCAUUAUUAGUAUUUAAAUAAUUAAUUUUUAUAAAAAUAUAAUUAUUAAAUUAUAUUAAUUCAAUAAAAAAAGUUAAAAUACUAAUUGAUUUUUUAUACAACAAAAAGAGUCAAAUGAUGUGUAUAGAAUUUAUAUUUUCUUGAAUUAAUAUCAUUGCCUAUUGAAUUUACUUCUCCAUGCGCAAUUGAACUGUUAAACUAAAAGCCUCCUCUAUCUUAUAGACAACUUAAAGACUUUAGAUUUAUGUGCAUGUGUUUUUUCUUUUAAUUCUUUCUGCAUAAUCAAUAAAAAAAUCAGAAAAAAAAGAAAUUAUUAUUUAAAUCAGUGAAAUUAUUUCCCUAUUCUUAAAAAAACAUAAAUUAAUUUUUAUGUUUUCAAUUGGUCAAUUAUUAGAAAAAUUAAUUUUUAUCUAUUUAGUUUGAUUUUGAAAUUAUAAAUAUUGGUACUUUCGUUUUGAAAUUGCAAAAAUUAAUUAGGGAUAAAGAUAUCUUAGUUUAAAUGAAUCCAUUUGCAGUUAAAAAAAAGAAUCCACUUACUUUUCAUAUGAAACCACCACCACAAUUUAGAGUCCUUCCCAUGAAUUUUUUCAUCUGCCCCAUUUUAUGGUUGCGGCCCAAAUUAACUCAUCUAAGGUACUUUUAGCCCUUUCGAUUAUAUUUUCUCCCACCAAAACGCUGUUUAGCUUAUGCUAUGAAAUGUCAGACUUAUAAAUUAAUUUGAGUUUAUAUAUAAUUUUAAAUUUUAAAUUGUUACAUAUUUAAUAUAAAUAUUAAUAAAUAAUAGUUACAAGUUAAGCUUAUAAAUAAUUUUAAAUUUUAAAUUAUUACAUAUUUAAUAUUAAUAAGUGAUAGUUACAAGUUAAGCUUAUAAGCAAUUUUAUAGUUACAAGUUAAAAGUUAAUGUGUUUAAUUAAAAAUAACUUAUAAGUACAUCUAUGACUUAAAAAAUAUAAAUUAUUUUUUUAUUAAAUGAUUACAUACUAUAAUUUUAAUUUUUUAAUAAAAAUACUAUAAUAAUUUAAUUAAUCAAAUUCAUUUAUAAACAUUAAAAUAAAAAAGCUGAAAAUCAGCCCUUUUUUUUUUUCAUAUACUUAUAAAUUUAUCACAUUACUACAAAGAAACAGAUGAUUUAAAUUUUAAAAACUUUCAUAAACAGAUUUGAGCAACACCCUGUAAAAAGCUUAGAUUUUCUACCAUUAUCACUGCUCAUAUGCAAGGACUAGAGGUGCUUCACAAUCUCUUUCCAGAAAUUGCCUUUAAAAAUGAUCCACUUACCAAUCAACACAAUCAUGGCAAACUAUAAAAUCCAUAAAAUUUUGGAUCAAACUCAAUGUUCAAAAACAAAUCCAUUGACAUUGAUGAAUCCUAUAUAUAUCACAAAAACAAAAAAGGCUCAAUAAUCCAAGUUGCAUUUAAAUAAAGAGGAAAAAGAAAUCGGCAUCACUGAGAUUUAAGCUUGGAGACUUGGAUAAACCACUGUUUUACUAGAAGCCAUAUGUAACUUGAAACUGAUCUCAAUAUCAAUAAUUUUAGAAUCAAAAUAUAAGUGCAAAUAUUUUAUAGUAUUGAAAUCCAAUACAUAUCAUCAUAGCAAAAGAAACACAACAUGGCAAAUUGGACACGGCCAGAAUACAGCACACACCUUCUCCCCCUUUCUCUUCUUUAUAUCUCUCUCCCUCCCUCCCCCAAAGGACAAAACACGAAACAUACAAAGAGCAGUCCUCAACAUUUAUUUAUCAUAGACAUCCAUGAUCAUGCAUAAACAUAUACUGUCUUAGAGUUGGAGGACCUUCUUCCAAGAUGGCCUGUUGCUAAUUUCAGUCCACCACCUACUCACGUGCUUUCUACUACUAAUCAUAUGCUCCCUAUUCAUGGGACCCACCAAGUACUGGGUAAAAGGUAAGUGGCUAAGAUCAGCCAGGCUAAAGAAAUCUCCAGCUAAGUACUUGCUCUUUGAGAGCCUCUCCUCAUACACAUCCAACACUUUUGCUAGCUUUUCUUCACUCUCUUUGAUGAUCUUCUCAUCAGCAGGAAAUCCCAGAGCCGAGGCAAAAAGGAUGUGAAGGGUCAAGUUGUAAAUAUGAGGGUGGUAGUUGUGGGCCUCCACCUCCAGCCAUUGCUCCACUAAUCCCCUCUCUUCAAUGUCCUUGCCAAGCAAAUCAGUUCCUUGGGACUUGUACUUUUCCGCAUAAUACCUUAUGAUUGCUCUCGAUUCUAUCCACCCGAUCAGGACCCAUUAAAAUCAAAUGCAAUUCAAAAGUUAACAUUUAUAAUUUAACAUUAUCUUUAAAUUCAUUAUUAAAAUUUUAAAAAAGUUAAAAUUAAAAAUUAUAUAUAUAUAUAUAUAUAUAUAUAAAUGAUUGGGAGAAAACAAUUAAAUUGCAAUUAUGUACGUGAAUUUGAAAUAUUAAUUGUCCGUUCGUUUUCUUGUAUUAAAUAAUAAUAUAAAUUUAUUAGUUAAUUUUUUAAUUUUAUAAAAAUCAAUUCGUAUUCGAUUAAAAAGAAAUCGAUCAAAUAGAAUUAAUUUAAAAUUUUAAUUCGAUUUUUUAUUUAUUUUCAUUUGAUUCAAUUUUAAUUUUAAAAAUAUUGAUUAUUUUGAUUCAGAUAAAAAAAAUUAUAAAAAAAUCACACUAAACCAGUUACUGAUAAUAUUAUAUUAUUUUUAAUAAUAUAGAGAUUAAAUUAUAAUUAAAAUUAAAAUAUUUUAAAUAAAUUUUAAAAUAAAAAAUAAUGUAAAAAAUAAAAAAUUUAUUAAAAAUUCAAAUCGAUCAAACCGAACUGAAUCGAACUGAUUCGAUCAAUUUAAUUUCUGAUAAAAAUCGAUUUUAUUCAAUUUUAAUAAAUAUUAAAAUUUUAAUUUUUAAUUUAUUCAAUUAAAAUAUCCAUCCUAAAAAAAAUAGUUAUUAAUUAUUCAUAUUAAAAAUAUUUUAAAUUUUUUUUAAUAUUUAAUAACUUAAUAGUUAAAAAUUAAUAAUUAAUUAAUAAAUUAUAAAUUUUUUUAUACUAUAAAAAUUAAAUAAUAAUUUUUUAUUUUAUUUAAUUCAACGAUUAAAAUUAAUUAUUAAAAUUAAUAUAAAAAUUAAUUAAUAAAAUUUUUAAAUUUUAAAAAUUUAAUCGUUAAAAUUAAUAUAAAGAUUAAUUAAUAAAAUUUUUAAAUUUUAAAAUUUAAAGUAAUAACUGCAUCUCAAUAAAUCUGUUAGAUUUUAGAUUCUACUUAACAAUCCCUAAUCCCUAUUUUAAAAAAAAAUUAAUUUUAAAAAUAUUUUAAUAUAUUUUUUAAAAGCUAGAGAUUAUUCAAUAAAUUUUUAUAUAUUAUAAAAAUUAAAUAAUAAUUUUUAUUAUAAUAAUAUUAUAUAUUAUAUAAAAAUAAUUUAUUAUAUAUAAUCAUUUAUAUUUCUAUUUUAUUAUUAAAUAUCAUAUUGAAAAAUAUUUUUACUAUUUAUUUUUAUACUAAAAAUUUUAGAAAACGGUUUUUAAGAGGUAAAAAAUAAAAAAUAAAAAAAGUUGUUUAUAGUUAAAAAAUAAAAAAAAAAAAACAAAAAAAGAGAAAUCCUACGAUAUUAUCAAUCAACCUAAAUCAUAGGAUUUUAAAGAUUAAAAAGUAAUUUUGUCUAAUUUUUAACAUUUAACACCCAUCUUUCCUCAAUAAAAAAUAAUGAAGUUAGAAAUUUUUUAUCCUUAUUUUCUUCUCAAUCAAAUAUAAAAUAAACAAAAAAUAAAAACGUUUUCCUCUCCAAAUUUCAUUCAUCCCCAUGGAAUUUCAACAAUCCAAGCACAAACAGUGUAAAGUUUGCAAUAUGCUAACCUACAGCAUAAUUUUUCCAAAUUAUCCCAAAUAACUUAUACUCUAAUUGACAGAGGAUUAUGAAUGAUUAAUUACCGUAUAAGGUGUAAUCUCCAUCUUCAAUUACAGGAAGCGCUCCGAAAGGCUUGAAUUGGCAAGAAAAAGAAGCGAAUUCAGCGCGAAUCAACUCGAAAAAGAAAAUACAUAUACAUAAACAAAAACAAACAGGAAAAAAAAAAAAAUACCGAACCUGUAAUUUGAGAUAUUCAGGGCUUCGAUGCUCCCCUUUGAUGAGAUCCACAGGAAUCGCUUCAAAUUCGAUGCCCUUUUCAAUAAGGCAAACGAGAACUCGCUUGGGAGAAGCAUAGGCAGUACCGUAUACCUUCACAACCAUUUUUUUCCGAUGAGAGAUAAGGCAACAAGGAGUGGGUCUGUGAGGAGUAGGACUGUGUUAGUAUUUGAAAGGAGGGUUUGCUUGUGAUUUAUGAAGAAGAAAGCUAGUGGAUGGGUGGGUGGGGAAUUUUGUAUGGGCACGUGUAUUUAUCUUAGCUGGAGUUGGUAGGAGAAUUUUUUUAAAAAUUUUUAAAUAAAAUAUAUUCUCUAAUUAAUAAUUUUAUUUUAAUUAAUUAAAAUUUAUAGAAAAUAGCUAAAACUAUUUUCCAUGCAUCAGAUGAUUGGAAAUUUGCUAUUAAAAUUAAUUUUCAAAAAAUUUAAUUCUAACAUAUACAAUUAAUCUGAGAUAAUUCCAUUAAUAAAUUCACUUUUUUUUAAAAGCAACUUAUAUUAAAUUGGAUUAUAGCUGUAAGGAUGGGUUAUGUCAUGACUUUGCUCACCUCUUGGCUGCUUUCAUUUGGUCCGUUCAAUAAUUAAUACUUUAUUUAAAAUUCCACCGAGUUGUUGAAAUCAGGGAGAAAUUUUUUAUUUCUGUCCUGCUUUUUUUUUUUAUAAAAUAAAAUUUUCUGACAUCUUUUUAAACUUUCAACCAUAAUUAUAGUGGUGAUGUAUGAAAGACAAAGUUAAGAUGUUUUACUACAUAAAAAAAAAAAAACUUUCAUUUGCAUUUCAAUUUUCCAUAAAAAUUACAAUAACAAAACAAAUUAAAAGCCAAUAAUCGGAUUUUAGCUAGAAAAAGAAAUUAGUUCAUUGUUAAGAAUAUGAUAACAAUCAUUUUGACUAUAACAAUAAUGAAUGGAACUUUGAAAUAACUUAUAAACAUCAAUCCAAAAAUCACCAAAGCUACCAAAUUCAAUUUUAAAUUUUAUUUCAGUUUAGAAUAAUAUGUUAGUUAAAAGAAGACGAAAAGGAAAAUGAAUCUAAUCAAUAAUACACUCAAGGUACAUUAAAGGGGCAGAGGAAAUGCAUCUUUGAAUAUAUAAAAGCAAAAUACAUUUCCUUCCAUCAUCUCAAACAAACAACAAAAUUUUAAAAUAAAAAAGUACUACAUUCAUAAUGACUAAUGGAGCCCAUUCCUUUAAAACAAAAAUGACAAAAUCUAAAUAAUCUUAUCAUCAUUUUUCUGAUUUUAUAAAGAAAGAAAAAAAAAUCAUCAAUAAAUAUUGAGAUAAAUAAUUUAAUAUUUUAUUUUUUUAAAUGAAAUUAAAUGUUCAAUUUUUAUAAAUGGAACAACCAAUCAGAAUGAUAUCAGCAUUUAUAUAUUUUUUUUUUUUAAAAAAGAAGAAGAAAUAUCUGCUACGGCAACAAUGGGCUUGUCCGAUCAAACUAGACGGCCAGGCAAAGACAUUUUGGAUUCCAUAUACAAACAUGAGCAAUCCCACUCACAAGUCAAUUUUUGCAUCACCGAUUGGAAUUUACAAUGCAAGCAGCUCCUAAUGCUGUUGACCGUUUGACAAAGCUAUAAUAACAGCUGUAUUUGCAUAAUCAGCUUCAAAGCUCGAAAAAAGCAAAAACAUCAUAUUUGGUGCUUCAAUUCAGAUUUAAAAGCACAGGAGCGCAUUAUCGACACGUCAACUGUUAAAUAAAAUCACAAUUCAUUGGAACAUCAAAAUGAUACCGUUGCUCAUCAGAAUGAAAGAACUGACAUGGAAUGCGUUGAAGUCUGUAACUUAGAAAGAGCAGUAUCACUUUCAUCGUGCUCAUUAAAAACUAUGGGUCUCCCAUUGAUAUUCUUCCUGUGCAUAUCAGACAGACACAAUUAUAUUUUAUAAACAUGGAAUAGGUUUAUGAUCCUCAAAGAAAAACUAGUGCUUUAAUUACAUCUUUUUCUUAAUGAGGGCAGGCAAAGAACGAAAAAACUAACAGAUAAUCUGAUUCAGUGACUUUGAUUAUCAUUUUAUAUAAAGAGCUCCUGCUGCUCCGAAAAGUGAUUCCAGAUUGGCACAUAGUAUGUUUGUUUGCAAUGUCAAUAAAAGUGUGCUAAAAUUGUAGCCCACACUGUCCCAUUGUUGGACCAGCAGAAUCAGAGUUUAUAACUUGCUGUUGGGCAAGAAUAUGUAAGUGGUUUUGGGAGGAAAGGCACUAUUUGUUCCGUUUUAGAGUUACCUUACCACCACAAAAGGGGUUGAGGUUUGAGAGGAAAGGCAAUUUUGCCUCCUGACUCGAUGCCUCCAAUUUUUCCACCCAAAGCUUAGAUUAGUACUACAAUGCAAGAAGAAAAGGAAGCAAGCAUACUUUUGUGAGAUAGAACUCUCUUCAGACAGUGCCUUCUCUAGCCUCUCCUCAAAUGAUGUUGCAUGCCAACUCACUUUUUGAUCCUGAAAACAAAGGAAGCAUUCCUUAAAUCCAGCUGCUGAUGUUGCAAGCAAGGAUAAGAGAAAUUUAGCUGCAGAACAUACUUCCUUGUACUUAUUAGUUGAAUUUGGAAUUCCAUUCCCAUCCCAUGACUUCGGGGAGAUGUGAGAAGGUUCGUUCUCAUUCCAAUGAGCAGCAACCAUCCCAAUGAUAGGCCUGUCCAUAGGAGUUUUACCAAAACGGAAAUUUUUUCUAGAUGCAGUUCUAUCAUUUGGAUCAUCAUUAUCACAGGUGGACUGUCGCGGUUUAAACCAAGAAGACAAGCUUGCUUCCACCUUCAAUUCCGGCACAGACGAAGCUUCUUUACCUCCAGCUGAUUUAGGUGUUGAAUUUUCCAGCUGCUCAGAAGAUUCCAUCAGCUGACUCGUCACUUGAAAAGAACUAGAAUCAUCUUCCAGGCGGACCUUCCAUUGGGAGGCAUUCUCAACUGGAUUCCGGACUGGAUACACAUACUGAGACCUAAUCCUAGUCUUCCCAUUUGCUAGUUCUACAUUUGUAGGGAAAACUGUUCCUGGUGUUUGCAUCUCAUCAGAAAGUUUUAAUGGAGUUAGUUUUGGAGAAGGCUUUGUUACACUGAAAUCGCCUUGGGAUUCAAACUUGCUUAAAUUUUGGCCCCCAUUUUCAAAUGAAGACCCUUUAGACGAGGAUGUAUCAAGGUUGCAUUCGAAGCGAACAUACUUUUUCUUGGGUAGAACAUCUGUUGCUGUUCUAGGACUUCCCACUUCACCACCUUCAACGUAGCUGAAAGAUAUCCUUCCAGCGUUCUGUACGCUGGAUAUGCGGCUACAUGAAAUGAAUGAAAUUUGGCAAUAUCAGCAUAAUAACUUCUUAUGGAUAAAACCAAAGGGAUAAAAACACACAUGUUUCUAAAUUCUAUUGGACGAAUUCCAACUGAGAAAAAACUAUAAAAACCCGUUGAAUGAGUCAUCUCAUUGAAAGAAGUAAAGUGAAUAGGAUUGCACAAGCUAUUACCAAGCUGAUUGGAGCCAACCCUUAACGUUGUAAAACCCUUUUUUUUUUCAAAAAAGAAAAAAGUCCAUGUGACAUUUGCUUAAGAAGAGGUUGCUUGUGUUUGUGCAUCAACUGUCUGAUGACAAUUCAUUAGGAUUAGAGGUUCAACCUGACAGGUGUGUGCUCUGAAGAGCCCGAAGAGUUUCCCGACUCUUUACCAAGUUUGACGGGAGUAGAGAGCUGAUCAAUUUGCCUAUCCAACUGAAGGUUCUUGAUCGAUGAGCUGGGAAGCCACGAGUGAUAAUCUGAAGACUCUGAAUCUUUAGCAAGAGGAGCUGCAGCCUUUAACUUCUCAGACGCUUUCCGAAUUUCAGAAGGCGUCUCAGGUGAAGUGCCACUGGCCUUUAGAAAUUUGGUCUACAGGGAAAAGUAAACAACCAAAAACGAUAUAAUAUUAAACAUCACCUGAAUUCUCGUAGUCAUCAAGAUAAUAAGAAAAAGGGUAAUUAUUCUGGGAUUUACUGUGUUCUAUCAAAAAAAAUACUUAUGAUCUUUUUUUUAAUCAUUCAAUUAAAAUAAUAUAUUUUUAAAAUUAAAUUUUAGUCAUUUUUAUUAAUCAACUUAUUUUCACCUUAAAUAUUUAUAUUAUUUAAUUUUUAUAAAUUUAACUAUUUAAUUUCUUUGAUUAAAGUUGAAAUAAAUUAAUUAGCAUUAAUUGACAGAAGAGUUAAAGAUUUUAAUUUUUAUAAAAUAUAAAAAUAUUUUAAUUGAGUUUUCACGAAAUGCAGAAACCUUAACCUUAUAGCAAUUUACUUUUCGAAGUUCGAAUAACCAACUAAACUAUAAAGAUUAAGGUAGAACUAAAAUGUCCAGGAAGAAAUUUAAGGAAUGCAAAUUCCAUUGUAAAUUAAACCUUCAGCGUACUGAAAAUUAAUUUAUGCUAAAGAGGGCCACCCUGAAUUUAGCAGAUUUUUAGAUUGAGAGCAACUAUAUAAUACAUUUAUGGUUUCAACAUUGAAAAACGUAGUAUAGAUCAGAAUAUCAAUAUUCCAUUCCAAGCAAACCAAAUAAUUAAUGGAUACCUCAUCCAUCAGUUCCUUGUUGAUUUGCGGAGAUCCGGCAAAACGGUUUUUCCUGUCAUAGUAUAGAGAAUCUUCUCUCUCUUUUAGAUGCGAGAAAAUAUAGUAAAGUACAAUUCAAAAGAAAAGGGGAAAACAAUUAUCAGUCCACUUUGAAUGAAAAUAAUUAUAUAAGAAAGAUAGUUGAACAUUAUUUACCUUCAGCCAGAAAUAGAGAAGACAAACGAUUUUUAGACACCACAGGCUCCUGAUUGGCAUUCAUAAAACAGAUGAUAACCAGUUAGUACAAUAAUUGAGUAAUUGCUUUUUCUGAAUAAUUUUCCACUCAACCAAACAGAAAUUAUAAUUGCACAUAACCAAAAAUCUCCCACUAAAAUUUGAAAUGUUAACUAAAACCUAUCAUUAACUGAAAUCCCUCCAUUUUUAUCUUCAAGUGUUAAAAAACCCUUUCAAUUGCAGUUCAAACUGAGGUAAAUAAAAUUGCAAAUAAAUAAAGCAUUAGAGUUCCUUUUUCCUAAAAAUCUACACCAGGCAACGCUCUAUUUUCAAGGAAUGGGACAAAAAGGAAAACAAAAUACAAGAUCAAGAAGCAAAGUACAUUUAGCUUAGGUCGAGAUGAAUGGGAGACGAGGUGAGGUCCCCGGCGAUCAUCUCUGGCACGAAAACAACCAAAUAAAAAGCCCAUGGCUCUCGACACCGAUCUGUCAAUAAAUCUCAACACCGACUUGAGAAUCAGUCCAAUUUCUCGCUUCAACAAUGCGCAUACCAUAUCAGUCCGCCUUCUAUUUUGUUCUUUUCUAUUUUAUCAGUGGGAUUAAUCAGGGAGGGAGAGAGUUGUUGGGUCGUUUUUGAAAUUUGAACCAACUAAACGAGGGAAAGAUCUUCUUUAAGCCUUACGGAGGGUACGAACUUACAUAUAAAUUAUUUUAUUAAUUAAAUUAAAUAUUUAUUCAUGAAUUUAUUAGCUAUAUUAAAAUUUUUAAUAAAAAUAUUUAAUUUAAUGAUAAUUAAAUUUAUUGUUAUAAUGCAAGCAGUGUGAUCGAGACACGUGUCGGGCUUCCACAAGUUUUGGAUGAUGAAGAAAGGUUGAUAUUUUCCAUAAUAAAAUCAAUGGUCUUUUAUGUUUUUAUCGAAAAGCUAAAAUUCUCAGCUUUAUAUGUUACGGCAUAGCUUUCGAGAAAGCCAACCAAGAGCUAAAUUUGUUCUGACGUUUUAUCCUAAUCCAAAAAGGUUUGAUUAAUCUUUUUGAGACGGAAAAAGAAAAAAUUGGUCAAAAACCGUUUACUUUCCAAAAAAUUAUUAUGCAUACAAAACACUCUCUAAUUAAUUUAUUUUUAAUAAUUUCAUUAUAAUUUUAAUAAGAUUUGUGAAUAAAACGUAAAAGGAUUAAUAAAAUUUUUUGAAAGUUAAAUUUCCUUCAUUAAAAUAUUCUUUAAUUGACUAUCCUUGUGAGUUUUUUUAAAUAUUUUAUGUAAAAUUCUUUUAAAAAAAAUAUUUUAUGUAAAAUCAAUAAUAUCAAUGUUUUAUAUAUUUUACAAUAAACAUCUUUUCUAUAUUUUAUAAAAUUUAUUGUUAAACUGUAUUAUAUUUUUCAUAUAACAUAAAUUUUAUAAUUAAUCAAUUAAACAAUUUGCCAUUAACUUUAUAUUUAUUCUAAUUAUUCAAUUUACUUUUAAAUAGUGUAAUAACUUGUUCUUAUUAAUUUUGUAAAUAAUUUAAUAAUAAAAUAGUAAGACUGGAAAUAUGUUAGUAAAAAAUUAUAAAAUUUAUUAAUUUAAUUAUAUUAGGUACAUUUUUCUAAAUAAUGAAAAGAAAAAAUAUCUUAUAAAAAUAAUAAUAAUAAACGCAUAGUGCGGUAGCAUGUACGCUUAUGUCGAUUCAGCCAAGCCAUGGGCGAUAAACGCAACGGACAACACCACACUGGCAACCCGUGGGCUAUUAGCUAAUCGAUUUCAUCGCCAAAUUUAUCAUUAUAACCAACAGCAAGAACACCGACAAUGCUUCGACUCUCUCUUUCCACCCUCUCCUUCUCUCGCUCGUUUCUCUCCCUACCACAGAAGCCCCGCAGAGCAUCUUACGUUAUGACAUAUACGGCGUCGUUUUCUUCUGCUCCUCCUUCUGGGUACUCUAGCAAGCUCUUGUUUCGCCAGCUUUUCGAGAAGGAGUCCUCUACCUAUACUUAUUUGCUCGCCGACGUCGCUCACCCUGAUAAGCCUGCUUUGGUUAGUCUUCUGUUCGUUGCUGGGAAAAUUGUUGUAAAUCUUUAUUCCAAUACAAAAACACUUAAUUCGUAACUAGAUAACGCACAUCUUAAGCUGUUAGGAUUUUAGUGUGUUUAAGCAUUAAAUUAAAUGCGAAUAUGUCAAAUAUUUGUAUAAGAUCAAUUGCUUGCUAGGCAAUUAAUUAUCUGUUCUCUGCAGUUGAUUGACCCGGUUGACAAGACAGUGGACAGAGACCUCACCCUUGUCGAAGAACUAGGGUUGAAGUUAAUUUAUGCCAUAAACACUCAUGUACAUGCUGAUCAUGUAACAGGAACCGGGUUGAUAAAGGUUUCAGCUACUUCCAUUUGCUUUAACACACCUAUGCUUUUGCUUAUUUUAUUAUUAAUAUUGUUAUUAUUAAUAUUGUUAUUUUUAAUCAAAAUUACAAUACUGCAAAUGAUUAUUUUUCGGUUCUUUUUUUCUUUCCUCUCAUUUGCAGACUAAGGUUCCUGGUGUCAAAUCUGUCAUUUCAAAGGCAAGCAAAUCAAAAGCUGAUGUUCUAAUUGAAGCUGGGGAUAAGAUACAUUUUGGUGAUUUGUUUCUGGAGGUAGGCUGCUGUUACUUUAGGUAUAUAUGUGCCUUCUUGGGUAGUAAAAUGAAAUAUGAUGAAGGAUCGUGUCUGUGCUAUAGUAAUUAUUAGUCACUACUCAGUCACAAAAUAAAAGUUGUUCACUAUUCAUUAAGUAUUUAAUGUGCUCUUUCUUGUUACUGUUGUGCGACUUCUGAAUAAUUCAUUCUUAUCAGGAUCUCAACUGUAAAGAUAAAGGUGAAAAUUUUGCCCCCUACUUUAAUAACUGAUCCUGGAGUUUAAACUAAGGGAUACAUUCAAUUUAUUCAAGAAAUUAUAGUUAUGCUGUUUAUUUUGUUGCAACAAUUUGUAAUUAGAGUAAGGUUCCUUCAAAAUUUGUGCCAAACUUUUGUAGUUGUUCUGGUUGCUUUUUGUCAAGAAAAGGUGCAUACUAGCUGUUUUGCAGUUGUGCAAGACUGGUAAAUACUGCUCACUUCAUUGCAAAUGCUUUAACUCUAGAGGUUUUCAGUUCACAACUGCAGCUGCUUCUAUGCCAUGCAGAUUGGGCAGAAUUAAGCACAACAGCUAUAUUAUCUUGUUCCUGGUUUAUUGCCGUUUGUCAUUUAUCUGUUCUGUCUAUUUUUAUGUCCAUUCAUCACUGAAUAAAUUAUUCUGUAUUGUUAUUUUGAUAGGUUCGAGCUACUCCUGGCCAUACAGUAGGUUGUGUUACUUAUGUUACUGGAGAUGGGCCUGAUCAACCCCAACCAAGGAUGGCUUUCACUGGGGACACUUUGCUAAUACGGGGAUGUGGAAGAACUGAUUUUCAGGUUUGGUAUCUUAAAUUUUAUUCAUUAUUGUUACUAUUUUUUUUUCAUGAAAGCAAACGUCUUAGAGAAGACAUCAAGCUGUGUGUCUAACCUCAUUAAUUUACACAGGGGGGAAGUUCACAACAACUCUAUCAGUCAGUGCAUUCACAGGCAAGGACAUGAAAAGAACAUUAGUUUGUCAGUUUGAAGAUAAAUAAACUGUUAAUAUUAGACUUGACUCUGGGUUUAUUUAUUUAUGUUUUUAUGGAUUCAGAUAUUCACCUUGCCAAAGGAAACAUUGGUCUAUCCUGCUCAUGAUUACAAGGGAUCCACUGUAUGGGGUCUCUCCUUAUCUCUUAGUAGAUUAUUAUGAUAUUAUUUAACUCAUUCAUGAUAAUGCUAAACUUUUGUGUGAGUUGCAGGUUAGCACUGUUGAGGAGGAAAUGCUGUAUAACCCAAGGCUUACCAAAGAUGAGGUGAUCCUCAAGGCCUCUGGUUUCUUGCUAUAUCUUUUUUAUUUUAUUUUCUCUAACAAAAUUUCACUUGACAUGAUUGUUAUCAAAUUUAUUAUGAGUGUAUCAGUGCAAUUUGUACUUUUGUUACCAUGACAAACUCACAUGUAGUAAAAAUUUGUGUGAUUCACUAGUUUGUUUGCCUGUUGAUUGAUUAUUAACAUUUAGGUAGAAUAGGCACAGCAGUAGUUUGACAAUGUGGUAGAAACCAAGUGAAAUUUGAUUAUCCAUAUUUCGGUCUGUGUUGUACUUUUCACAAUUGUCUCUAAUUGGUGUGAAUUUUGAUAUAUUUUUCAGGAAAAGUUUAAGAGUAUUAUGGAAAGUAAGUGACAGCUGUACUCUGUAUCUAUUUAACUCUGCUGCUCAUUUUACAGCUACUCAAAGGUGAAUUUUAUGCAUUAUCAAUUUGCAGAUCUAAACCUUCCGUAUCCAAAGAUGAUCGACAUAGCUGUUCCUGCAAACAUGGUCUGUGGGUUGCAAGAUCCACCUGCGAAGCCUGUUGAGGCCUAGUCAAACUAGGAAUAGUCAGGUGUGUUCCUUCUACAGUAUUGCUGGAAAUGAGGCUAAGUUUUUCUAGCUUGGAAACAAGUUUCUUUGUGCUGAAAUUUUUUACCAAUGCACAAGUAUUUAAGAAUUUGGGAACAGGAGAACACCUUGAGAUUUUUUUUUUUUUUAAUGCUGAAAUUCUGGCUAUCCAAAUAUGAUUCACAUCAGGUAGUUUAGAUAUUAACUUUCAUUCUACAGCAUCCAUUAAUUAUCUACUAAUUGAGUGUUAUAGUGAAUGUUGACUUUGCAAUAAGAUUUUGACAUUGCUCAAAAGAGACCACAUAUGACUGCAGAAUUACUGGUAGUGCGUAAAUACCCAUUAUUUUCUGUUUGAUCCCUUGGAAUCGGGGGCUGCACAUCAAGAGGAAGCCCCCCCUUUCUAAUUCUUAUCCCAUCCAAAGCAACAAGGCAUAAAUCCGUUGCACUCAAGCACUUGGCUUGAGGAACCUAAACUGUUGAGCCAAUGAAGAGAUUUUGUAAACAUCAAAUUUUUAUGGUACAAAUCUUGAUUUGAGAACUUAAGCCUCAACUUUCUGGGGAAUGCGUAGCGGGCUAGAAUCUGCAAAGUAGAGAAUUUCUUAAUGAUAUGUUUCUAAAGGGCUCAUAGAAAUUUCUUAGUUAAGGCAAAAAAUGAUUUUCUUUGUCUUAAAGAGAAGAUGAUUUUCUUGUACUCAGAGUAGAUACUAUUUGACUAAGACAUGAAUAGCCAUUUAAAUUUAAAAUCUGUGAAUCGCUUCUAUUUUGACUUUCCAUCUAAAAUGUAAAAUCUAUGAAACAUCUUACCCAUCUUUUGUCCAGUUAACUGAGAUUACAGAAUGAAGGUAUUCUUUAUGAUCCAGCCCACAAUCCUAAAAGUUAAAAAAAAAAGGAAUUAGAGAGAGAGAGAGAGAGAGAGAAUAAAAGUGCAGUGGGAAACAUGAAGCAUCUUAGGAAGCUUACUUUGAGUUGGGACCAAGUAUUCUACAGUAUACUUGGUGCUCACUUCACAUUGCUUGUGCAAGUCUCACGGAAAGAUAAGUUAACUUGUGCAAGUGAAGCUGAGAUAAGCUUCUCUAAGCUUGAGUUGAGUGUCUGUGAGAGUGCUAGAGAGAGCACUAGUUUGAGAGUAAACAUCACUGUGUGUCUUGAGUCAAAGGGUUUGUGGAUGAGGUUGAUUAGAGGUUUUAUUAUUUUCUCGCAACAAUGAACAGACUUGGGGAGUAGGCUAAUUGCUAACCACUUAAACAUUGUGUUCCAAUUAUUUUGUCAUUAUGAGUAUAUUUUUCACAAAAAUAUUAGCAUAAAAGAAACCUAUAAUUCUGGAAGAGUGAAAUAAACACGUUAAAUGCCUCUCUCCUAUUGCUUUGGAUUCAAGGGUGAUCACGAUACUCUUCCCAAAUUUCUUACAAAAAUAACACAAACAAGGGAUAUUUUAAAACUGGAUCAAAAGCAAAAUAUAGGAACCAACAGCAGUUGAUGGAAAAUGGCGAGGAAAAGAAGAUAGGUGGGAGAUUUUGUUUCGGGAUCAUAUCUUCAAAUAACUGAUGUUUAUUUUUUUUUUUUUACUUCUUGCUAAUAAAGUUAAAUUCAAGUCACCGUCAUGUUGAAAAUGAGGAUGUUAAAAGUCAAUUCUUUAUUUGAAUUCUUUCUAAAUUGUGCGUAAGAAAAUUUUUUUUCCUGUUUCCUCUUUAUUGAUGAAAAAUUGAAAUACAAGGCUGUAUUCACUGAUGUUGUUGUUUAUGGUUUUUUUAUUUUAUUUUGAAGGACAAAACGUGAAGUCUGGUUGAGUUUUUGUUUGGUUUUUUCGUUUUUCACUCCUUUCCCAUAACUGUUUCUAAAAUCGUAACUCUUUCCAAAACAAGAUUUUGGAAACCAUAAUUUAUGUCUUUCAUUUGUGGUUAUGGUUUUGAAGUGGGAUUCUCUAUCUACCUCCUAUAUUGCGCAGACACCUAUACACAUGCUUGCAACUAUUUAUACAAUUUCUUUUUUAGUUUUCCCUCUUAGUUUCCCUUUCUCCUAUUAAUUUCAAAAACUUAUGGAAAUUAUGGAUUUAUAAGUAAUUACCAAGAUUAAAACAUUCUGCAGCUUGGCUUUGAUGACCAAUAAUUAUAGGUAAUUUAAAGUCUAGUGCUUGGUUUAAUAUUUCCUUGUCAUGAGAAAUUGAUGGAUGAUGGGUCUCUUAUGUUUAUGGUGGUUAUUUUUAGUUGUAUAAAUAAGUGUGUUAUGUUCACAGCGGUAGGGAAAAAGCAAAUCAAAUUAGUAAUCAGUUUCCCAAACUUUAACAAUCAAAAUGGUAGAUAAAAAAAAAAAACCAAUAACGUUACUAAGCAGAGCCUAAUUUCUCCAGUAGAUGUGUUAAAAACUUUAAAUAUGUCAUUUUUCUAGCCAUGUGGAUGUAGGAUAUGGAAGAAUUUGGACAAUCACUGAUAUUGAGUACUUUAAGGCACAAUAAUGUCAAGCUUCAUGACUCGAUUAGCACUUCUUUUUUUAUGUGUAGGGACUAAAAUUACCCUUAUUCUAUAACACUGUUUUUUGGUGCAUGCAGCUGUUUUAUGUUUUUACUUCUUGGUCUAGUUUUCCUUGAUGAACGAUUCAGUUAUUCUACUUAGUUUGAAGUGUAGUUCAAUUGAGUUAAAAGUUAAAACCCUUUUCCAAUUCUUAGUUCUUUUUUUCUUAUUCAUCUGGUGUCUGGGAGUUGUUUUGGACUUUUAGUUUACCAUUCUGUUUCUCAUUGUUCAUGUUUCAACUUUCAACCCAUACCCUUGGUGAUGAAUAGCAAUAUAUAAUCAUUUCUAUUUUGUUAAGGUCCAAGCUUGAGCAAUCCGUGUCUUCUGAUGGCUACAGUUUUUGGCUAGCAGAUAUGAAGAGUCUUUGUCAAAGCCUGUUGUUUAUCACACGGUCAGUUAUUAUGGAGGCAAAUCCCUGUCACAAUGAACUCCACUUAAUAAAGAAGUUCAAGAUAAAGUCUUCUGCAUCAGCAUCACACCGAUAUUUGCCAAAAUGCAGGUUCUUCAACUCAGUACAAUACUUCCUUUGAUUAAGGAUUUGCAUUGCGGUGUAGCACACAUAGCUAAUAUCUUGGCCGUGUUACCUUGUUCCCCCAGCUUCUUUGUGUAAUAAAUUAUGGAAAACCACUCCAUUUGUAAAAACCGGUCUAAUUGUCUUUAAAUAAAGAGUGCAUUUUAUACAAGUUGGAUAUCAUUUGAGAACAAUUUAACAACCUUCAUAUUAAUUGUUUAUUAAAUGAAAUCAUGAAUUUAAAUAAAAACAUUUACUCUAAUGGUUAUCAAAUUCAUCGUCCUAUGAAUUUGAGCCCUCCCAAGUGUUGCUGUAAAUGAAAGAUUUAUGCAUUUGUUAUCUUAAUUUUGAGUAUGUUUUAAUUAGUUUUGCCCAAGUUUUAUCGUUAUACUAGAUUAAACAAAUAGGUUAGGGAUUAAUUGUUCAGAUAUUAAUUUUGGAGUAUAAGAGUUUAUUUAUAUCCCUCUUUCUCUAUAAAGAUUUAGAAAUGUAUCCAAUCUUCUCUCCAGCUUGUGAACUUGGGGUUAGGCCCAUUCUUUCUAGGGUUUUGAACAUUGAGUUGUGCUCUCUCGUUAGGCCAAUUGAAGCCUGAUUUUAUUUAUGAAUUUUCUUCAUUUUUUAAAGAAGGAAAUAUGUAUACAUAUUGAUGACCUCUGGAUUUCUUCACCCCGGACUGAGGCCAGGCCCAUUAGGAUAGCCCAUAAUUCGAAGGCUUCUAAAUCUCUUUUAAGAGCCAGGUCCAGCCCGCUCAGCUCAAAGACCGGACUCCAAUCAGAUUCUCCAAUCAGGCCGGCCCAGCUCAUUCGGCCCAAUGAACAGAUCCCCUCUGGGCCUAACCUUAUCCUUAUCUUCUGGCCCAGUUCGGAACCCAGAAGGAAUUCAGCCCAUUCGCUUUGUGGGACCAUCCGCAUGCGUACCUGGGGAGAAUCAGGGGUCGUUAUGCAUGGGACAGAGAUCUGAUUCCCUUGUACAUCCGUAUCAACGUAGCAGGGACAGGUGGUCCAAUGAUACACGUUCUGCUACACGUCACUAGCUGCCAAAAGGAAACAUAUAAAAGGAGAAAUACUCUCCUCUAGUUCUAAGUUUUUUUCAGUCUUACAGAACCCAUUGUAAAACCCUAUUUUCUGGAUCUCAGCUCAUCAAUUGGCGCCGUCUGUGGGAAACGAAGGAGAUCUUUUCUUCGCCGGAGUUCCACUCUCACACAUACCCACUGAGAUCCACAAUGGCUAACCACAACGAAAACAAUCUUGUCACUCCAAAUGACCUGAGCUCUGCCUAAGAGGGGCAGCAGUUCUCUUUUUUCAGUCCUACAACACCAAAUAGCCAAACACCAAUCCCUUUCAACCCCUCGCCAAGCCUGGCGGGGAAUGCUUCCGCCGCCACCUUGUCCAACCAAGACCUCCAAACCAUGGUCCUUCAACUACAGAGCACCGCCCACUGGUUGGGGCAAAUAAUGCAACAACGGGGCCUUAGCACCCCCACCAACGUACCACCGGUGGUAGAAGAACCCUAGACCAACGAACCUCAGCCUACCUUCAACCACCCCAGAACUGUCAGCCAAGAAACCGGAGACGGGAGGAGGAGAGCCGAAGAAGAGGAAGAGCCGGCAGCUCGAGUUCAUGGGAGAAGGGCGAGGGAGAUGAUAGAAAAUGAUGAAGUCGAUAGCUACUCCGCCGAAACCACCGGAAGAAUGGGGAGUGAAACAUGGGAAGAGGAGGCCUACCAGGAGAGGAAGCCCAGGCGGGAAGGGGAGAGCGUAGACCAAAAGCUGCAGAAGUUGAGGGAGCAGCUCUUGGCCGAGCUGGGAGCGAAGGGUCAGAACCAAACUCUCCUACCCACUGCUUCACCCUUCUCAAAAUGGGUGCAGCAGGAGACUAUGCCUAAGAAGUUUAUGAUGCCACCAAUGGCAGCCUAUGACGGGGCUGGGAACCCUAGGGAGCAUGUCUUGAACUACAAGACUUUCAUGGAGCUGCAGACUCUGUCAGAUGCCUUGAUGUGCAAGGUAUUCCCAACGACGCUCUCAGGUCCGGCAAGAACAUGGUUCAAUAACCUUGGGGCCGGAAGUAUUGGCAGUUUUGAAGAUCUAGCCACCCGCUUCAUCAGCAAAUUUAUUGCCGGGGUGCCUGCGGAUAGGAAGACGAGCUACCUGGAGACAAUCAGGCAGAGGAAAGACAAAUCACUCAGGGAGUAUGUCGCUCGUUUCAAUAUAGAGGCCCUGCAGAUCUCCGAGCUCGAUGAAGGAAGGGCUGUAGAAUCCAUGCAGAAGGGGACGACCUCAGCCGAGUUCUUUGGUUCACUGAGCAGGAAGCCUUCGACCUCACUGGCCGAGCUGAUGAAACGGGCCGAAAAAUAUAUAAGGCAGGACGAUGCUUUGGAGACAAGCAGGUUCGCCAGGGGAGCGACAGAUAAAGGGAAAGCACCGGAGGAGGGAAGGCCGGAGAGGCGCAAGAAAAAGCAUGGCAAGAGACCUGAACCGUACAGACAACCCUGAGAGCGCAGGGACUAAAGACCUUCCCCUCGGGCCUUAGAACAAAGGUCACUCCCCCCGUGGGUCCCGGAAACACCGACUCCCCUCAACGUUUCUAGAGCCGAAGUGCUCAUGGCCGUCCAGGACAAGGAGUUCCUCCAAUGUCCUCGGCCCAUGAAAGCAGAAGCAAACCAGAGAGAUCCUGACAAGUAUUGCCAGUACCAUCGCGCACACGGCCACGACACCAACAACUACUUCCAAUUGAUAACAGAAAUAGAAAGGCUGAUAAAGAGAGGGCAUCUGAAAAACUUCGUGAAAAGACCGGAGGGACAGAGACCUCAGCCUAAUCCGGCAGUCCCAGUGCUGAGGAGAACGGGAGCUGGGCCAGUGAAUGAUGGAUCCAGCGGGACCAUCAACAUGAUUGUUGGGGGAACAGGGGGUCGGAUGAGCCGUAGGGGAAAGAAGAGAAGUUGAGAAGGGGAAGGCAACAGCACUGAGGUCAUGCAGGUCAUCGAGCACACUCCCAUGGCCAUCACUUUCUCUCCGGAGGAUGCUCAGGGUAUUCAGAUGCCCCAUGACGAUGCCCUUGUCAUUGAGGCCGUCAUACACAACUAUCGGGUGAAGAAGAUCCUAGUGGAUGACGGGAGCAAGAUGAACCUGUUGCCUUACUGGGUUUUUCAGUAGAUGGGAAUUCCCGGAGAACAGCUGGUCCGGGACCAAGCACCGGUCAAAGGGAUCGGAGGAGUACCGGUGCCCGUGGAGGGGAAGGUGAAACUGGCCCUCACCUUGGGAGAAACACCAAGAACUCGCACCCACUAUGCGGUGUUUUUGGUGGCUAAACUCCCUCUGAGCUACAACGCAAUCCUGGGAAGACCUGCGCUAUAUGACUUUGAGGCCGUCACUAGUAUCAGAUAUCUGGCGAUGAAGUUCCCCACAGAAGUAGGGGUGGGAGUAGUUCGGGGAAGCCAGGAGGAAGCAAGAGCAGUGUACCUAGCUACGGUAGCAGAGCCGAGCUCAACAGAGAAAAGGCUGGAUUCAAAAAACAGAGGCCAGGACAGAACCGGUGGGGGAACUGGAGAUUUUUCCCUUAUCAGAAGAAGAAACAGGUAAAGUCUUCAGUCUCAACGCCGGCCUCACCAAGGAACAGAAAACCGAGGUCAUGGCUCUGAUCCAAGGUCAUGCAUCGAGCUUCGCCUAGAAGUCUUCUGACAUGCCCGGGAUUGACCCAGGGGUGAUGACGCACAAGUUAAAUGUCCUCCCCGAGGCUAGGCCAGUAAAGCAGGAAAAAAGGGUGGUAGGAAGGGAGAAGCAACAAGCCACCAGGGAGGAAGUACAGAAGUUAGAAGAGGCAGGCUUUAUUAGGGAAGUCAUGUACCCGCAGUGGUUAGCAAAUCCUGUAUUAGUCAAAAAAGCCAAUGGCAAAUAUAGGAUGUGCAUAGAUUUUACUGACUUGAAUAAGGCCUGCCCUAAAGAUUGUUAUCCCCUCCCUGAUAUUAAUAAAAUGGUCGACUCUACGGCCGGUUUCGAUUAUAUGUCUUCUUUGGAUGCUAUGUCUGGUUAUCAUCAAAUCCCAAUGGAUAGGUCGGAUGAAGAAAAGACCUCGUUCAUAACAGAAGAUGGGACUUACUGCUAUAGAGCUAUGCCUUUCGGGUUGAAAAACGCCGGAGCAACCUAUCAAAGACUGAUGAACAAGGUCUUCAAAUAUCAGAUCGGCAGAAACGUAGAAGUUUACGUGGAUGAUAUGGUGGUCAAGAGCCCAACUUUCCAACAGCACAUGGCAGAUUUGAGGGAAGUAUUCGGGGUAUUAGAUCAGUACAGAAUGAAGCUGAAUCCAGCAAAAUGUGCCUUUUUCAUCAGGGAGGAAAAUUCUUGGGGUACAUGGUGAGUGGAAGAGGCAUUGAGCCUAAUCCGGAGAAGGUAGAGGCCAUACUGAAUAUGUCAGAACCGACCUGUGUAAGGGACGUCCAGAGACUAACCGGGAAAGUAGUAGCGCUUAAUCGAUUCAUGUCAAGGUCGACAGAAAAAUGCUUACCAUUCUUCAAAAAGUUGAGGAAAGUGCCAAACUUCGAAUGGACAGAAGACUGCCGAGAAGCUUUCAAAGAGCUCAAAAGCUACCUCAGCUCCCCUCAUGUGCUCAGUAGCGCCUUGGAAGGAGAGGAACUCCUGAUAUACUUGGUAGCCUCUGAACAAGCGAUUAGUGCAGUAUUGGUAAGGGUAGAUGAAGGAGAACAAAAGCCGGUAUUUUACGUCAGUAAGGUACUUAAGGGUGCCGAGAUUAGAUACCUGAACAUUGAAAAGGUGGCGUAUGCUCUGUUGCUAGCAGUUCGAAAGUUUAGGGUCUACCUGGAAAGCCAUCAAGGUAUAGUGAUGAUGGACCAACCUCUGAAGAAGAUUCUACACAGGCCGGAAACCUCAGGCCGGAUGCUGGCUUGGUCCGUAGAGAUUAGCCCUUACUGCUUAGAAUAUCGACCUCGGACAGCUAUAAAAUCUCAAGCCCUUGCCGACUUCAUAGCAGAAUGUACAUUCAAAGAAGAGCGGGAAGAGUCUUCUUCAGAAGUGUUGGAGAAGGGAAGUGAGGGAGAGCCUUUGCAAGAGUUCAAAUGGAAGUUAUAUGUAGAUGGGGCAUCAGGCGCGGGGGGCAGUGGUGCCAGAAUAAUGCUCAAGGGGCCUGGAGAAUUCAAGGUCUGCUACGCCUUGCGCCUAGAAUUCAAGGCCUCCAAUAAUGUGGAGGAGUAUGAGGCCCUAAUAAACGAGAUGCUGGUGGCAAUGGAAGUAGGGGCAACCGAUCUCGAGGUGAAUAGUGACUCCCAGCUGGUGAUCAAUCAGGUAACUGGGGCAUAUCAGGCCAGAGACCCGACCAUGCGAAAUUACCUAACAGAAGUAAAAGCUAUAGAAGCCGAGCUCAUGAGCAGGGGUGUUGCCAUCAAAUUUCAAAGAAUACCUCGAGAAGAAAAUGAGGAAGCAGACCUGCUUAGUCGGUUGUCGAAGAAAGAAUUAGAACAGCUCCCUGACGAGGUAUACAUACAACACAUCAACACGCCUACUUUUAAUAAAACAAUCACUGUAUUGCAGAUAGAACAAAGCCAGACCUGGAUGACCCCAUACCUGGAAUAUCUGGAAAAAGGAAAGCUCCCUGAAGACAAGGAUGAAGCAAGAAAGAUAGCAGCUUGUGCUGCUAAUUACCAAGCAGUAAGGGGGACCUUGUACUGAAGGGGGAAGUCCAGCCCAUGGCUCCGGUGUGUGAGCCCGGGGGAGGCGAUAAAAGUGAUGGAAGAGAUACCCAGAGGAAUAUGCGGAGCUCACGAAGGGGCAGGAACGCUGGCUAAUAAAAUAUUCAGGCAAGGGUAUUAUUGGCCCACUGUCAAAAGAGAGGCGGAAGAGUUCGUCCGGAAAUGCGAUAUAUGCCAGAGGUUCGCCAACGCCAUCAAUAUCCCAGCCACUCCUCAAUCCAACAUAUCCAGCCCCUAGCCCUUCUCACAAUGGGGAAUAGACAUCCUGGGACCCUUUCCCAAGACCACAGGACAGAGAAAAUUCGUAGUGGUGGCUGUGGAGUACUUCUCAAAAUGGCUAGAGGCAGAGGCAAUCCCUACAAUCACAGCCCGCCAGAUGAUAGAUUUCGUAUGGGUGCACAUCAUCUGCAGAUUCGGCAUACCGAUGGUGCUCGUUUCAGACAACGGCAGGCAGUUUGACUGCAACACCUUCAAAGCAUUUACGGCCAACAUGGACAUAUGGCACAAGUUCUCCUCAGUGGCCCAUCCUCAGACCAACGGCCAAACGGAGGUCACCAACCGAGCUAUCCUCUAAGGAUUGAAGAAACGGCUGGAUGGGGCAAAGGUGAACUGGGCGGAAGAGCUCAACAGCAUUCUAUGGGCACUCCGAACUACUCCCAGAACGUCCACUAAGGAAACGCCCUUUGCACUUGCUUUUGGCACAGAGGCCGUAGUCUCCAUCGAGUUACAAGUUCCCACUCAUCGAGUUCAAUUUGCUAACAAAAGCACCAACAGUGACAAAUUGAGAAGUAACCUUGAUGCCCUCGAAGAGAUUAGAGAGGAAGCCCAAGUCCGAACUGCCGCUUAUCAACAACGAACAGCUUGCUACUACAACCAAAGGGUCAGAGAAAGAAGCCUAAAGGUGGGAGACCUAGCCCUGAGAAACCUGGAGGCUACGGGAAAGAGAGCGGCAGUAGGCAAAUUAGCACCGACCUAGGAGGGCCGCUUUAGAAUAACAAAAGUGAUCAGGGCAGGAGUAUACCGAAUUGAAAAUAUGCAGGGAAACCCUGAGCCCCAUGCCUGGAAUAUCCAACACUUGAAAAGAUACUUCCCUUGAGGUAUCGAUAAAUGCAAAAGACUUAUUGUAUUUUAAAAGCAUGGUAAUAAAACAGGCGAUGCUUAUCGUCUCGAUUCAUUAUUUAUCUCUGCUCACUUGGCACUCAUAAAAGAAACAAAAGGGAAAAAUGAAACAGGCACAAGUGCCCAAGACCUCAGUUAGGCACAAAACCAGCUGAGAUGGCGAAGCGACAGUAAGGCCAAUGAGCCUGAAUCUUGCUCAAGACCUCAGUUAGGCACAAAACCAGCUGAGAUGACGAAGCGACAGUAAGGCCACAGAGCCCGAAUCUUACAAAAGACCUCAAAGAAGGUACAAGGCCGGCGGAUCUCAAAGAUCUCCCGGAGCAAAAACGGCCGGCGGGAUCAACAAGAUCUCCCCGGAGCAAAAACGGCUGGGAUCCCGUAAGAUCUCCUGGAGCAAAAACGGCCGGCAGGAUCAACAAGAUCUCCCCGGAGCAAAAACGGCCGGGAUCCCAUAAGAUCUCCUGGAGCAAAAACGGCCGACGGGAUCAACGAGAUCUCCCUGGAGCAAAAACGGCCACGAUCCCGUAAGAUCUCCUGGAGCAAAAAUGGUCGACGGGAUCAACAAGAUUUCCUCAGAACAAAAAUGACCUGGAGCCCUGAAAUACAGCCCGUUUGAGGCUCGUCAAGAAAGCAAGAAAUUAAGCGCUGACUUCACAAAAAAGAAGGAGAAUUUCCGAACUCAUGAGCUCGUCACACAAACAGCGCAAAAGCUGUAGCACGAAAAUCCAAGUAAAUAACAAAAGUCCGAGCUCCCUGGUCAGCUGAAUGGGCGAACUCACGACAAAGGCAAAUGAUCCCACCCACAGCUCGGAUCAACUCGCAAUAAACAAACGCUUAACAAAAACAACCCUGGGAGAGGACAACGAUAACACAGCCGAACUCCCCCUCCCAGUGGGGCAUACAGCCCACACCGCACCAACUGACAAAGGAUAACCUCAAAGGAGAGCAGAUACCCGAACUCAUCACCAGACAGAGAGGCAAAAUCGUCUAAAAUGAAGCAGCGCCAUUCCAAAUGAAGUUUAGGGAUUUACCCCCUCACCACUCACGUCAUAAAUGCUAAGGAGGUAAAAGGGCAAUUCGAGGAAAAAUCCAAAGGCAUGAGUAGAUGAAACCCUAGUUUCAGCUCUUAUCAAAUUGGAACUAAGAACAAAAAGGCCAGCCCUGCUUAUCACCUUCAAAGGUACGCAAUCUGACACACUACUAUUAAACAAGGGUUGUAUGACCGAACUCAUAAUAACGAAGUAAUAAGAGAAAAAUGAGGUUGUCCUUGCAAGAAUCAUAAGAACUUGCAGGACGAGAGUCCAGCCCCAUGUUAAAAACAGAGCUCAUAGGUAAGGAUAGUCCAGCCCGGAAAGAGCUUACAGAUAAGAAUGCCUUAGCAAAAUAAAUGAGUCUAUAAGCCAAAAGUUCAGUCAAUUAGUAGAAUUCUAGUUUUGAUGAGUUUGAAAGCAAAAAGAAGAAAACAAGCAAAAUAAGUAAAAAUAAAGUUUCAUUAAAAGAAAAGUACAUUUAUAGCAUGUUACAAGUGCCUACUCCACUGAAGGAAAAACUGUCCUCAAAGGACUUACACGACCAGAGGCGCUAUUAUCUACCCUGUUCCCUUUUUAGCUCGGCGAACUCCUUAUACUCCCUUAGAGGUCCCCUACUCUCCAACCGAACUCUAUCUCGUUAUUAUAGGAGAGCUGAACAAGUUGAUCCCCAUAAGCAUCUCUCACUGUUCCAUCAUAAGCAGGCUUCCUGUCGCCCAAGUGUGAUGCACGAUACACUCGAGCAAGCCGAGAAAAAUUGACGAGGCAUUCUGAAGAGCAAUGGAACAAGUGAAUGUUGCAAAUCUACACACAUACUAUGUUGGACUAAUUUUAGCAGAUUACCCUUGCUAAUAUUACGUGUGUGAACAGCAUCUUGUAUCUCACAGUAAGCCUCAGAAACCAUGUUAUUCCAUGAGUUUGAGUCAGGAGCAGACAUCAGGGGCACCACGAGAAUCCUCUCCUCCUCCCCGGGAGAAAGAAAGACAGGAGCCGAUCUUCUGGAAGCCCAAGACUUCUUUGGAGCGCGAACCAAGGCAAGCACUUUGAGGAGAAUGGGACACUUGCCUCCGACCUACUCCGCUACACCCCCAUUAUCCACAAAGCUGAGUUCCCUAUCCUCGGCAGUCGGACCGACCUCGGAAGGGACCCCAUAGACAUUCCUCAUAGAGGCGACCUCAGCCCUACUAGCAAGGGUCCCCAUCUCAGCUAUGAAGGCCUCAUGCCUCUCUUCAGAAGCAUCGCCAAAAGACAGGGCAGGCUUCGCUGUCGUCAAACCAGAGUCCUCGCUCGGCCUUGAAGCCCGAGAGAACUUGAGAGCUUGAACAACCAGCACGGCUGAGACGGACUUGUCAAUACUUGGCUGCCUUAAAGAUUCGGCACCGCGAAAGCUCGGCUCCGGAGCUUGGGCAGGAACAAGAGAAGGAGGCCGGCUGGACGACCCGAACGAUAUAACUUCGGCCACUAGCUGGGUAAACCCCCCCCCCCGCCGAUUGUCCAACCAGGAGGGCAUUCAGGGCUACAUUCAGGCUCUCCCUGGACAACGUAAGAAUUUUAGGGGGUUCAAUCUGAUUCAUCUUCACCAAAGAAACUGCAAAAAAUCCAAAACCGGAGCAAGUCAGAACGGCUCUCAACAAGAAUCACAAAAGAAGAUCAAAAUGGACAUCUAUAAGGGACAAGGUAAUAAAACUUUCGGCUCGCCUUGACCAGCCCGAAUAAGGUACCAAACGGAUGCCUCAAGAACGUGAAACCCCCGCUCGGACAGAUAGGUUCAAAAGAAACUAUGAAGAGAAUAAAAUUAGUGGCUGACACUUGAGAAGCAAUCUCGAAAUGCUAUAAAAAUCCCAUGGAAGAAAAGAAAUAAGAGAAAGGAGUUCACACCUGCAUGAAGAUCGAUUAUACCAGAGGUAUAUGGAUCAGAAGGAAAGACCCCUCCAUCCUGGCGAAGGUCCUGAAAGGGAAGAAGGGGGCGAUAUCGUGAGAUACCCCGAGAAGGAGGUUCUUAUGCUGAACGAUGUGAUGCUAGACUCUAGGCUAGCGGCGUCAGGAUCCUUAAAGGAUAUGCAUAGAAAAGGAAGGAAGGCGUAUCUGGAAAAUAAAAGCAAGAAAGUGAAGACGAUAGUACGCACAAAGAACAGAGGAAAGCCAGAAAUGGAAAAAGACAGAGGGGACUCGAAAGUCAAAAGGACAAAAAGAUGAAAAGGCAUUACGAAGGAAGCAGUACAUAAACAGACGCGGUCAUAAUGAUUCUUGGGAUUUACCCCCUCAUCAGUCGAAGCAAUAACUGACGAGAAGGUAAAGGGGUAAUUGAUGACCGCUGGGUUUCUUCACCCCGGACUGAGGCCAGGCCCAUUAGGACAGCCCAUAAUCCGAAGGCUUCUAAAUCUCUUUUAAGAGCCAGGUCCAGCCCGCUCAGCUCAAAGACCGGACUCCAGUCAGAUUCUCCAAUCAGGCCGGCCCAGCUCAUUCGGCCCAAUGAACAGAUCCCCUCUGGACCUAGCCUUAUCCUUAUCUUCUGGCCCAGCUCGGAACCCAGAAGGAGUUCAGCCCAUUCGCUUUGUGGGACCAUCCACAUGCGUAUCUGGGGAGAAUCAGGGGCCGUUAUGCAUGGGACAGAGAUCUGAUUCCCUUGUACGUCUGUAUCAACGUAGCAGGGACAGGUGGUCCAAUGAUACACGUUCUGCUACACGUCACUAGCUGCCAAAAGUAAACAUAUAAAAGGAGAAAUACUCUCCUCUAGGUCUAAGUUUUUUCCAGUCUUACAGAACCCAUUAUAAAACCCUAUUUUCUGGAUCUCAGCUCAUCACAUAUUAAAAUAAUUUUGUUCAAAACUGAGUUUAAUGUAAAUUGAAAAAGAUUAAGGUCAAUUAAAAUGAGUGGAAUGGAGGAUAAGAAGAUUUGAAAUUUGAUGGGGAGAGUUAAGAGUUUAAAACAAGUAAUCAAAGGAAUUCCAAAGUCUAAGCAUAUGGGUUGUGGUUUUGAAAUUCAACAUAGAAAAAUUUGUUAACAUCCAAAUGCAAGAAGACAGAUUUGGAAUGGAAAUUCUCAAAAUCUUUUGGUGUCUCCAAGAAACUAAACACUUCUUAUUUCAAUAUUUGAUGUGGCAAACCAACGGUUUGAUUGCGUGUUGGAAUUCCCACUUCUCUGCACCAAACAACUAUUCUUCAACUUAAUUCCAUCCUCCUUAUUCACAUCUAAUAUUAUACUAUUUAUUUAUUUAUUAUCAAUUACUAUUUAUAUAUUCAUUUUACAAUCCUCAUAUUAAUUAUUAAUUAUAAUAAAUUUUACAUGAGAUGCAUUGAUUAUUAUUAUAAUACAAUCGUCCGUAUGAUAAAAUUUCUGGUCAGCUUAGGGCAUUGGACUGGAUUUCCUAACACAGCUCUCGCUUUCAUCAUUAGCGCAUUUAUUGCUCAAAAACCACUCCACAAUUUGUAUUUCUCUUAUUAGAUUUAGACCCUUCUUUCCUUUUUAAUUUUGUUUUUUUUUUAAAUAUAAAAUUUAGUUUUUUUUUAGAUACAACAUCAUUUGUGAUUCAAUCAAUUUAAAUUAAUUAAAUAUCAAUUUAAUGAGUUAAUUAGUAGAAAUUUUAAUUAAAAUUUUGUGAAUAUAUUCAUCAAAUAUAAAAUUUUCUCUAAAGCCUUAUAAACCCACUUUGGUAUCAAGUCUCUGAAAGAAAAUUUAAAUUUCAAUUAUUAAGAGGAGAUCAUAGAAAAACUGGUGCUUAACGAAUUUUUAUAAUAAUAAAUAGUACUAAUAAUAUAUUUUACUUAAUUUAUUGUGGGUAUUUAUUUAAAUUAAUAAUUCAACGCAUUCCAGUUUCUGCUUUUGUGUGUCACUUUCUUCAAUGGCUAGUCAAAGGAAAUGGGUUUCUUGGUUUGGCUUUGCAUUCAAAACAAGGUCAAAACUCACACCUAAAAGACCACUCUCCAAUCUCCCAUCACUGUUCAAUCUCUCUCUUUCUCUCUCUAUCCCAAGAGACUUUUACUUCAAUUUUUUUUUUUUUUAAAAAAGGGCUUGUUGGGUUGGUUCUUGUGAUUGAAAGCUAAUGAAACAGGAAACCAGGGGGAAGAAACCCAACAAGCACAAGAGCCAGAAGAAGAAGAAGAAGCAGACGACCAGGUAAAUAUAUGAAUCCCACCAUUAAUUGCAGACUGUUCUUUCUUUUCUUUUCUUUUCUUUUCCCUCAUUUCAUGGUAAUGUGAAACCGCGUUUCAACAGUGCCAUCUUUGAAACGGUAAUAUUCAAUUCAAAGUCUUAGUUUUUUAUUUUGAUUAUUACAUUUUAACAUACUUUAACUCAUAAAGACUUCAGCUUUCUAUUCUCUUUUCUUCCUUCAUUUUUGGUUUCCUUAAAUACCAAUAGCUUUUCCUGUCAUUUCAUCCUUCUGGGAUUUUUUUUUUCAUUUUCUUGGCUGAAAACCCAGUUGUUUUUUAGUUUCCUUCAAAGGGUACUUUCUUUUCUUGAUGUAGGAUUUUCUCGUCGUCCAAACAAGAAGUUGUGGUUGCCAUGUUGUCCAAGUUCUCUCUCCUUCUUGUCCUUCUAUUGCUCUUUUCUGGUGCUUUUGAAGCGAUUGAAGGAGUUCAUGAGCAUAAGAAGAAUUUAAAUUCCAAUAUCUCAACUGUUGCCGGAAUCGAAUUGCCUGAACAUAUGACCUUCAAUGCAGUUUCUUCUUCACCAAUGAAAACAGACUGCAAGCUCUCCAGGUCAAGGAAAGACCAACCAACACAAUCAAUAGCUGCCCAAGAAGAGGAAGAUGACAACGACGACGAUGAUGAUGAUCUUGAUGUUUAUGUUCAUGGCGAUGAAGGAAAAGAUUCAAAAACGGUGAAACUCGAGUUAAAACGCAGGCACAGGUCGAUGAAUCAAGAAUCUAAAGCAGAGGAAUCUUUCAUAGCUUCAACCACUCGGGAUUUGACCAGAAUUCAGACUCUACACAAGAGGAUCACAGAAAAAAAGAAUCAAAAUGCCAUUUCAAGAUUAACCAAAGGUAUGAAGGAGCAAAGGGAACUUUUGAAGCAACCUGUGGUUGCCCCAGCAGCAUCACCGGAAUCUUAUUCAACUGGGAUUUCAGGGCAGCUCAUGGCGACCUUGGAGUCAGGGGUGAGCCUUGGCUCUGGAGAAUACUUUAUGGAUGUUUUCAUUGGUACCCCACCUAAACACUUCCCUUUGAUUCUUGAUACUGGUAGUGAUCUUAAUUGGAUUCAAUGUGUUCCAUGCCAUGACUGUUUUGAGCAAAAUGGGCCUUACUAUGAUCCUAAGGAGUCAACUUCUUUUAAAAAUAUAAGCUGCAAAGAUCCUCGUUGCCAUUUGGUUUCUUCCCCUGAUCCUCCCCAGCCUUGCAAGGCUGUGAACCAAACUUGUCCUUAUUUCUAUUGGUACGGUGAUAGUUCAAACACAACAGGUGAUUUUGCAGUAGAAACCUUCACUGUUAACCUCACAUCGGCUGCUGGGAAUUCAGCAUUUAAGCGAGUAGAGAAUGUGAUGUUCGGUUGCGGCCAUUGGAACAGAGGCUUGUUUCAUGGAGCUGCAGGGUUGCUAGGACUUGGAAGAGGACCUCUUUCAUUUGCCUCUCAGCUUCAAUCUCUAUAUGGCCAUUCAUUUUCAUAUUGCCUUGUUGAUAGAAACAGUGACUCCAAUGUUAGCAGCAAAUUGAUCUUUGGAGAAGAUAAGGAUCUCUUGAGUCAUCCUGAGUUGAAUUUCACUUCAUUGGUUGCUGGGAAAGAAAACCCAGUUGAUACAUUUUAUUAUGUUCAAAUAAAAUCGAUCAUGGUCGGAGGAGAGGUGCUGAACAUACCUGAAAAAACUUGGAAUGUCUCCUCUGAUGGCGCCGGCGGCACGAUUGUGGAUUCCGGUACUACACUCAGUUAUUUUGCAGAACCAGCUUAUCAGAUUAUAAAGGAUGCAUUUGUGAAGAAGGUUAAAGGCUACCCAGUAUUAAAAGAUUUCCCAAUUCUGGAUCCUUGUUAUAAUGUCUCUGGAGUUGAGAAGAUGGAGCUGCCUGAAUUUGGAAUCCUGUUUGCAGAUGGAGCAAUGUGGAACUUCCCAGUUGAAAACUACUUCAUCCGGUUCGAACCAGAGGAAGUUGUUUGCUUGGCAAUUCUGGGGACUCCUCAAUCUGCUCUUUCCAUAAUUGGAAAUUAUCAGCAGCAGAAUUUCCACAUCUUAUAUGAUACAAACAAGUCUAGGCUGGGAUUUGCACCAAUGAACUGUGCAGAUGUAUAACAAUUUUCUAGGACUGAAGCGGUAGGAGGAGAAGAGAUACACAGUCAUUGAAGAUUCUGGUGGGCAAUUUUUGGUUUUUUUCUUUCAAAAUAGGCCUCGUUUUACAGAAAGUUAGAUUCAUUUUUUUUUUCUUCUUAAUUUUUACAUAAUUAUACUCACAAAAGUAUAUCAUUACAGUUAAUGUUUCCAUUUCCAUACACUGAAUGUCUUAUCACAUAAUCUUCCAGUGAUGAAUCUUGUUGUGUCAUCUGAUUGGUGAUUGAUUGUUACUCAUUCUUCCUCCUGUAUUGAUCACUCAUCUGGGUAUUUUUAGAAAUUAACUAGUUUUCAGAGCUAUGAUUAUGAUUAUGGAAGGAUUUAAAGAUAGAAUGUGUUUCAGAUAAUUGUGGCUGCAUAGAAUUAGAAUAAAAUCCUGGUUGUUUUCCUAACAUUAAUUGUUAUAUGUGUAAUGAAAGAGAGAGUCAACUGUUAGGUGCGCCACCCAAGUGCUGUAUGCAGACAAGGAAAUGGUCAACUUUUACGUGUAUAAAUUUUAUUGUUAUUAUUAUUUUCGUGUGCUUGAAGCUUUUUCAAGUUUGAAUGUGCCAUCAAAUUAUAGCAAUACUUGUAAAUUGAAAUUGGUACUGUCUGCUUAUUUAUUUAUUUAUUUGAUUUUGCAAUAAUUAGAUAUCCAUCACUACCGAAUGAAUAGCCUUUUCUUUCAAUGUACAAUAAAGGAGGCUGGCUUUUAUAAUGGCCGUGGAAGUUCCUUCUUUUCCACACAAUCUAUAGCUAGUGGAUGUUCACCCAACUUCAGGAAUUUCAAUCAAUUUUUUUAAAAAAAAAAAAUAUGAAAAUUACAUGUAUACAUAUUUGAAACAAAAAAUUUUCUUAUUUUUUUUAUUAAUUUCCACAAAUAAAAUAGAUAUUUAACUGCCUUUUCAAUUAUUUGAUUAAUAGAAAAAUACAAAGCCUAAAUGGAGGUCAAUAUUACAAAUGAAAUAAAAUUUUAACAGCCAAUUCAUUGGAUUUCUUAAAAAAAAAAAAAGGAAAUAGCUCAUACUCUCACAUUUUAAAGAUUAAAUUAUAAUUUAAUUUUGUUUUCAAGCGAUUAAUCUCUUCUACUAUUUCCCUGAGUUACAGAUGAAUCAAAGAGGGAGAAAAAUAAUUUUUUUUUGUUUAAUUUUAUUAACAUUUAUGACUAUCAUAAUAAAUAAUAAAUAAUAGAAUAAAUAAAUAAGUGGUUAUUAAAUUCAAAAUGUUUUCCAAAAUUUAACAAGUAUGCAUAAUUUUGCCAACUUUUAAAUUACUACAGUAUGAAGUAUCACUUAUGUUUAAACUAUCCAUUAUUAAAUAUUGAACAAACACACAUUUAUCUUUUGUUUAAUUGGAGAUUUCCGAUUUCAACCUACUAAAUUAAUUGUUUGAGAAGAUUUUAUCCUUCUUCUUAAAUAAUAAAAAUUAAUAAAAUUUAAAAAUCAUGAAAAAUAAUAUCUUAUGAAACCAUAUUUUUUUAAAACCUUAGUUAACCUUACCCCUUCCCUAAGAGAAUGUUAAUAAGGUGAAGGGUCAAGUUG
This 35398-nucleotide long non-coding RNA is filed under the name Manihot esculenta (cassava). Its description in RNAcentral is "long non-coding RNA (MESC_LNC000837)". Lineage: Eukaryota; Viridiplantae; Streptophyta; Magnoliopsida; Malpighiales; Euphorbiaceae. The record is from RNAcentral.